Molecule: ribosomal RNA, 253 nt
Filed under: uncultured bacterium
Lineage: Bacteria
Description: partial 16S ribosomal RNA
Rfam family: Bacterial small subunit ribosomal RNA
Source: RNAcentral
UACGUAGGGGGCUAGCGUUGCCCGGAAUCAUUGGGCGUAAAGCGCGUGUAGGCGGUUCGGUAAGUCCGCUGUGAAAGUCGGGGGCUCAACCCUCGGAUGCCGGUGGAUACUGUCGGACUAGAGUACGGAAGAGGCGAGUGGAAUUCCUGGUGUAGCGGUGAAAUGCGCAGAUAUCAGGAAGAACACCCGUGGCGAAGGCGGCUCUCUGGGACGGUACUGACGCUGAGACGCGAAAGCGUGGGGAGCGAACAGG